GAGAGUUUGAUCCUGGCUCAGGAUGAACGCUGGCAGCGUGUCUUAGGCAUGCAAGUCGAACGGGUCCGAUGACCGCAAGGAAGUCGGAUCAGUGGCAAACGGGAGAGCAACACCCUGGUAAUCUGCCCCAAAGUGCGGAAUAACUCGCCGAAAGGCGGGCUAAUACCGCAUGUGCUGGCGCGGCAUAAGCUGCGUCAACAAAGGUUAGCAAUAGCCGCUUUGGGAAGGACCUAGGUCCUAUCAGCUAGUUGGUGAGGUAAUGGCUCACCAAGGCGACGACGGGUAGGGGGCGUGAGAGCGCGACCCCCCUCAGUGGGACUGAUACACUGCCCACACUCCUACGGGAGGCUGCAGUCAAGAAUAUUCCUCAAUGGGCGAAAGCCUGAAGGAGCGACGCUGCGUGAAGGAUGAAGGCCUUCGGGUUGUAAACUUCUUUUUUGCGGGAAGAACCCUGACGGUACCGCAAGAAUAAGCCGCUGCAAACUUCGUGCCAGCAGCCGCGGUAAGACGAAGGCGGCGAGCGUUAUCCGGAUUUACUGGGCGUAAAGAGCUCAACGGCGGUUUUGCGCGUCACGAGUUAAAUCCCGAGGCUCAACUUCGGGACUGCUCUUGAUACGGCAAAACUAGAGGGUGGAAGAGGUAAGCGGAACGCGCGGUGGAGCAGUGAAAUGCGUUGAUAUCGCGCGGAACACCAAUUGCGAAGGCAGCUUACUGGAACACUUCUGACGCUCCAAGAGCGAAAGCGUGGGGAGCAAAAAGGAUUAGAUACCCUUGUAGUCCACGCCCUAAACGAUGGAUGCUCGACAUUGGAAGUCUCGACCCUUUCAGUGUCUUAAGCUUACGCGUUAAGCAUCCCGCCUGGGAAGUACGGUCGCAAGACUAAAACUCAAAGGAAUUGACGGGGACCCGCACAAGCGGUGGAGCAUGUGGUUUAAUUCGACAAUAAGCGAAGAACCUCACCAGGCCUUGAAAUGCUACUGCAAGCGCACGGAAACGUGUGACCUUCGAGGGUGUAGUACAGGUGCUGCAUGGCUGUCGUCAGCUCGUGUCGUGAGAUGUACGGUUAAGUCCGAAAACGAGCGCAACCCUCAUCGCGCGUUAAAUAUUCGCGCGAAACUGCCGUCUUUAAGACGGAGGAAGGCGGGGAUGACGUCAAGUCAGCACGGCCCUUACGGCCUGGGCUACACACGUGCUACAAUGGGAAGGUACAAUGGGUUGCCAAACCGCAAGGUGGAGCUAAUCCCAUCAAAACUUCCCUCAGUUCAGAUUGAGGUCUGCAACUUGACCUCAUGAAGAUGGAAUCGCUAGUAACCGCCAGUCAGCUAUAUGGCGGUGAAUACGUUCUCGGGUCUUGUACACACCGCCCGUCACGCCAAGAGAGGUGGAAAUACCCGAAGUGCCCGUAUGGGUAUCAAGGUAGAGCCACUGAUAGGGGCGAAGUCGUAACAAGGCAUCCCUAGCGGAAGCUGGGGAUGGAUCACCUCCUUUCU
RNAcentral lists this ribosomal RNA (1490 nucleotides) under Patescibacteria group bacterium. RNAcentral's name for it is "bacterial SSU rRNA". It matches the Rfam family "Bacterial small subunit ribosomal RNA". The record is from RNAcentral.